CACUACAUUAAGGAGUAUGGAAACUCUGCAGAGUUUAAGAGAGAGGCCAUCGACAUUGUCGUCGAUAGAUUUAUCGAUGGUUUUGAGAACUGCAAGACCCGCCUGUUGCAAAUGAUGCUCUAUUUAGAGCUCCAAUCCUUUCAGUCCGAAAACAGUGAUGAGGAGGCUUCCUCGUCGAAUGAGGACUGAGCUUCCUCAUCCUUAAGCUGGGGAUCGAGAAGAGCAUC
This 227-nucleotide long non-coding RNA is filed under the name Elaeis guineensis (African oil palm). Its description in RNAcentral is "long non-coding RNA (EGUI_LNC044158)". Lineage: Eukaryota; Viridiplantae; Streptophyta; Magnoliopsida; Arecales; Arecaceae. The record is from RNAcentral.